This 269-nucleotide ribosomal RNA is filed under the name Streptococcus agalactiae. Its description in RNAcentral is "partial 16S ribosomal RNA". It matches the Rfam family "Bacterial small subunit ribosomal RNA", at positions 1 to 260 of the family's 1533-position model. The record is from RNAcentral. Lineage: Bacteria; Bacillati; Bacillota; Bacilli; Lactobacillales; Streptococcaceae.
UUUAAUGAGAGUUUGAUCCUGGCUCAGGACGAACGCUGGCGGCGUGCCUAAUACAUGCAAGUAGAACGCUGAGGUUUGGUGUUUACACUAGACUGAUGAGUUGCGAACGGGUGAGUAACGCGUAGGUAACCUGCCUCAUAGCGGGGGAUAACUAUUGGAAACGAUAGCUAAUACCGCAUAAGAGUAAUUAACACAUGUUAGUUAUUUAAAAGGAGCAAUUGCUUCACUGUGAGAUGGACCUGCGUUGUAUUAGCUAGUUGGUGAGGUAA